RNAcentral lists this ribosomal RNA (675 nucleotides) under Triticum aestivum (bread wheat). RNAcentral's name for it is "partial small subunit ribosomal RNA". Lineage: Eukaryota; Viridiplantae; Streptophyta; Magnoliopsida; Poales; Poaceae. The record is from RNAcentral.
AUGUACAUCUUGGUCAAGAACCCCGCGGAUAGGAUGAUCCGCCUUAGGGUCAGGCCAUUACAUACCUUGGGUGAUGUCAAGACAAUGAUCCAGCAGCGCCAUUUCCUCGUCUCCAACGGGGUGCAGCUAGACGAUAACUGUACGCUGGCUGAUUACAACAUCCAGCAUGAAUCCACGCUCGAGCUCCAAGAGAAGAUGCAUAUCUGCGUGACGGAGACACUGAUGAACAGGACCAUCCCGCUCGAUGUCGACAGCCUAGACACCAUCGACGACGUGAAGGCCAACAUAUAUGGCCUCCAGGGCUUCCCCAGUGCUCAGCAGUGCCUCAUCUUCGCCGGCAAGCGUCUCGAAGAGGGGAACCGCACCUUGGCUGAUCAUAACAUCGUCAUGGAGUCCACGAUUCUCCUUGUUCUCCUCCCUUGUAUAUCGAGAGGAGACAUGAUGCAGAUCCAUACAAAGUCGUUAUCAGGAAAGACCAUCUCUCUUGAGGUUGGGAGUUUGGAUACCGUCGAGAGUGUCAUGGUGAAGUUGUAUGAGAAGAACUUCGCCUCUUAUCCAAGCCAGCAGCGCCUCAUCUUUGCAGGCAAGACGCUGGAAAUAAGGCGAACCCUAGCGUACUACAACAUUUGUAGUGAUUCUACCCUUCGUUGCGUGCCCUGCCUUUGCGGUUGUUGA